CAACGCGAAGAACCUUACCAGGCCUUGACAUGCAGAGAACUUUCCAGAGAUGGAUUGGUGCCUUCGGGAACUCUGACACAGGUGCUGCAUGGCUGUCGUCAGCUCGUGUCGUGAGAUGUUGGGUUAAGUCCCGUAACGAGCGCAACCCUUGUCCUUAGUUACCAGCACGUUAUGGUGGGCACUCUAAGGAGACUGCCGGUGACAAACCGGAGGAAGGUGGGGGAUGACGUCAAGUCAUCAUGGCCCUUACGGCCUGGGCUACACACGUGCUACAAUGGUCGGUACAAAGGGUUGCCAAGCCGCGAAGUGGAGCUAAUCCCAUAAAACCGAUCGUAGUCCGGAUCGCAGUCUGCAACUCGACUGCGUGAAGUCGGAAUCGCUAGUAAUCGUGAAUCAGAAUGUCACGGUGAAUACGUUCCCGGGCCUU
RNAcentral lists this ribosomal RNA (427 nucleotides) under uncultured Pseudomonas sp. Its description in RNAcentral is "bacterial SSU rRNA". It matches the Rfam family "Bacterial small subunit ribosomal RNA", at positions 957 to 1382 of the family's 1533-position model. The record is from RNAcentral. Lineage: Bacteria; Pseudomonadati; Pseudomonadota; Gammaproteobacteria; Pseudomonadales; Pseudomonadaceae.